Brienomyrus brachyistius is the source of this 1886-nucleotide long non-coding RNA. RefSeq lists it as uncharacterized. The transcript is spliced from 5 exons. NCBI's taxonomy places the organism in Eukaryota, Metazoa, Chordata, Actinopteri, Osteoglossiformes, Mormyridae. The record is from RefSeq and is a predicted model, not a curated record.
GGACUCUAAAUACUAACUGUGCCGCAUUUCCGUCUAAUAACUGCUUAUAUGUUUCAUAUUUGCAGGGGUCCUGAUAUCAGUCACACACAUUGCCUCUGCUUUCUUCUCACUGAUGGGGGGCCUGAUGAUUAAAGUGGUAAAGAUUGGCUUUACUCACGGAUCAUUACGGAACGGAAGCAGAUAAUCAGUGACAAUUCGGAGAAAGAACAAUAACUAGAGAACAAGCGCCAUUCUGUUUGCCUAAGCGGGUAUAACUUAUUCUUCUUCCCACAUUGGAUUUUAAAACUUUUUUGUUAUUACUUUAAUGUCUGAAUUCUGAAACUAACUUUGCCGCAGUUCCGUCUUCCAAAGGGCUUAAUUAAGUUAUUUCUUAACUUUUACUAGAGACCAUUAAACUGUACAUUUCCGGGCUGGAUUUACUUGUGAAAUCGAAAUUGAAAAGAGGCAGGCUUCCGGAAAAGGGAGUGAAAUGUUCAUAUGGUGUGGAUGUGAAUAUAAGAUAAAAGGCUAUACGGAAAUACCAGUUGAGCGCAGUAUAGAAUAAGGAAAAGAGAGAAGAAAACUUCAGUAUUGAGAGCAAGCAUAAAGCAGACUGCGAUACCCGGAAGCUGCUUUCUUUGCAGAUAUGAUGCCGGAGCCCUGAUCGUCUAAGCCGUGGCUCGCCGCUCCCAUGAAGAGGCCUCGCUUGCUGGCCUCUUGCUGGAUUACCUGAAGGAGCUCAGUGAUUACGAGCUGAAGGAGUUUAAAUGGAACCUGAGACACAUGAGGUAUAAAGAGUUAAAAGGACUCGAAGGAAUUGAAUAGAAUGGACAUCGCCGGCUUAAUGAUAAGUUCCUACUGGUAAGACGGUGAUCUCAAAGUCAUGCAUGAAAUCCUGGGGAAGAUGAACCUGAAUGACCUUGCUCUGAGACCGAAUAAAGACCUGCAGAAGAGUAACGAGUAAGGAGGAGAGCAGGAUGAAAGAAUUACCGCUCUGUGGCGUGUUCCAAUACUCUACAAGUCAAUAAAAGCCAAUAAAAUCUCAUUAUCGCACUUUCCUUUUCCAGUGUGGCAGGAAAAGUGUGGAUGAGAAGUACAGAGAUGUCCAAGGACAAAUUGAAAGCAGACUCAAGGAGAAGUUAUAUAGUCAAAUGUAUAUUUGAAGCAUUGUCAAAACAAGGGAAGACCACCUUUCUCAGUGAUAUCUACACAGAGCUGUACGUCACAGAAGCUGGGAAUUGGGGAGUAAAUGAUAAACACGAGAUUCUAGAAUUCUGAAAAAAUUUUUUCGCCCAGAACACACCAUGAAAUGCAGUGAUGUCUUCAAACUGCUCCCCAGUCAGAGGAAACAUAUCAGAACUGUUCUGACCAAAGGUAUCGCAGGUUGACUGGGCAGAAGGAAGAGAAAACCAAGAUAUUGAUUUUGUAUUUACUCUUCCUUUCCGUGACCUAAAUCGGAUGAAGGAGAAGCAGUGUAGCCUCAUUCGGCUCAUUUAUUGGCACUUUCCAGAAAUGGAAGAAGCAGAAAAGAUCACGUGGGGGAAGGUUAUGUUUACCCUUGAUGGCCUGGAUGAAUGGCGUCUUCCCCUUAAUUUCAAAGACGAUGAAACCUGGUCAACUGCAAUGGAUGUGCUGUUAACCAACCUUAUCACAGGUGUUACGUGAACAUACACAUUGGUAUUUUUGUGUCUAUGUACCUCUGUUCUUUUGCCAGGUCACCGGACCCAGCUGGGGGUGCUUGGGACUUUGCUCCGCCUCUUCCUUGUCAAGUGGGAGGGGCUUGGCCUACAAAAGCCUGGUUUUGCUGCUGCUCAGGGUCUGCUUCGCUGCUGCUCUAAUGCUGUUGCUGGUAUUCAGCUCUGCUGUUUUAUGCCGCAUAAUAAGACUGUGACGCUACUGUUGUGAAA